Molecule: ribosomal RNA, 683 nt
Filed under: uncultured bacterium
Lineage: Bacteria
Description: bacterial SSU rRNA
Rfam family: Bacterial small subunit ribosomal RNA
Source: RNAcentral
GUCAGGGAUAGCAUAUCACCGGCGGACGGGUGUGUAACGCGUACACAACGUACCCAAGGGAGGAGGAAAGCGGCGGGAAACUGCCGGUAAUACUCCAUGGUGUUGCAGGAUGGCAUCAUUUUGCAACUAAAGUACCUGCGCCCUUGGAUCGGUGUGCGUUCGAUUAGCUAGUUGGCGGGGUAACGGCCCACCAAGGCUACGAUCGAUAGGGGGUGUGAGAGCAUGGCCCCCCACACGGGUACUGAGACACGGACCCGACUCCUACGGGAGGCAGCAGUAAGGAAUAUUGGACAAUGGGCGGAAGCCUGAUCCAGCCAUGCCGCGUGAAGGACGAAGGCGCUCAGCGUUGUAAACUUCUUUUGGAUGGGAACAAUAAUUGGGACUUGUCCUGACUUGAGGGUACCAUCAGAAUAAGCACCGGCUAACUCCGUGCCAGCAGCCGCGGUAAUACGGAGGGUGCAAAGCGUUAUCCGGAAUUACUGGGCGUAAAGGGCGCGUAGGACGGUUCGCUAAGUUGGAUGUGAAACUCUGGGCUUAACCCAGAGCCUGCAUCCAAAACUGGCAAACUUGAGUACUGGAGGGGAAAGGCGGAAUUCCUGGUGUAACGGUCGAAAUGCGUAGAAUGUUCAGGGAGGCAGAACCGGUGGGCGAAGGCAGGCUUUUCAUGGAACAGGUAAAGUGGA